AUUGAACGCUGGCGGAAUGCUUUACACAUGCAAGUCGAACGGCAGCACGGGGGCAACCCUGGUGGCGAGUGGCGAACGGGUGAGUAAUACAUCGGAACGUGCCCAGUCGUGGGGGAUAACUACGCGAAAGCGUAGCUAAUACCGCAUACGAUCUACGGAUGAAAGCGGGGGAUCGCAAGACCUCGCGCGAUUGGAGCGGCCGAUGGCAGAUUAGGUAGUUGGUGGGGUAAAGGCNCACCAAGCCGUCGAUCUGUAGCUGGUCUGAGAGGACGACCAGCCACACUGGGACUGAGACACGGCCCAGACUCCUACGGGAGGCAGCAGUAGGGAAUCUUGCGCAAUGGGCGAAAGCCCGACGCAGCCAUGCCGCGUGAAUGAUGAAGGUCUUAGGAUUGUAAAAAUUCUUUCACCGGGGAAGAU
RNAcentral lists this ribosomal RNA (420 nucleotides) under uncultured bacterium. RNAcentral describes it as "bacterial SSU rRNA". It matches the Rfam family "Bacterial small subunit ribosomal RNA", at positions 29 to 449 of the family's 1533-position model. The record is from RNAcentral.